Molecule: long non-coding RNA, 219 nt
Filed under: Vombatus ursinus (common wombat)
Lineage: Eukaryota; Metazoa; Chordata; Mammalia; Diprotodontia; Vombatidae
Description: lncRNA (ENSVURG00010007396.1)
Source: RNAcentral
CCCGGUGGGAAAGGCGGAUAAUCAUAUUCUUAGGUGACAAUAAACUUUAAAAGCAAGGAAGAGGCCACCUCUUCUUGGAGUCAUCUUUGACUUCCUCCUUUCUGACCCCACGCAUGUUUGGAAUGGACUUUCAUCUCAUCUCCAUCUGCCGGACUGCCUCCUUUUAUUUAUGACCUUAUAUAGAUUCUUUAGCAAUGGCCUCCUUCCCUGAUAUCUCAC